RNAcentral lists this ribosomal RNA (1346 nucleotides) under uncultured bacterium. Its description in RNAcentral is "partial 16S ribosomal RNA". It matches the Rfam family "Bacterial small subunit ribosomal RNA", at positions 28 to 1381 of the family's 1533-position model. The record is from RNAcentral.
GACGAACUUUGGCGGCGUGCUUAACACAUGCAAGUCGAACGGAAAGGCCCUGCUUUUGUGGGGUGCUCGAGUGGCGAACGGGUGAGUAACACGUGAGUAACCUGCCCUUGACUUUGGGAUAACUUCAGGAAACUGGGGCUAAUACCGGAUAGGAGCUCCUGCUGCAUGGUGGGGGUUGGAAAGUUUCGGCGGUUGGGGAUGGACUCGCGGCUUAUCAGCUUGUUGGUGGGGUAGUGGCUUACCAAGGCUUUGACGGGUAGCCGGCCUGAGAGGGUGACCGGCCACAUUGGGACUGAGAUACGGCCCAGACUCCUACGGGAGGCAGCAGUGGGGAAUAUUGCACAAUGGGCGGAAGCCUGAUGCAGCAACGCCGCGUGCGGGGUGACGGCCUUCGGGUUGUAAACCGCUUUCGCCUGUGACGAAGCGUGAGUGACGGUAAUGGGUAAAGAAGCACCGGCUAACUACGUGCCAGCAGCCGCGGUGAUACGUAGGGUGCGAGCGUUGUCCGGAUUUAUUGGGCGUAAAGGGCUCGUAGGUGGUUGAUCGCGUCGGAAGUGUAAUCUUGGGGCUUAACCCUGAGCGUGCUUUCGAUACGGGUUGACUUGAGGAAGGUAGGGGAGAAUGGAAUUCCUGGUGGAGCGGUGGAAUGCGCAGAUAUCAGGAGGAACACCAGUGGCGAAGGCGGUUCUCUGGGCCUUUCCUGACGCUGAGGAGCGAAAGCGUGGGGAGCGAACAGGCUUAGAUACCCUGGUAGUCCACGCUGUAAACGGUGGGUACUAGGUGUGGGGUCCAUUCCACGGGUUCCGUGCCGUAGCUAACGCUUUGAGUACCCCGCCUGGGGAGUACGGCCGCAAGGCUAAAACUCAAAGGAAUUGACGGGGCCCCGCACAAGCGGCGGAGCAUGCGGAUUAAUUCGAUGCAACGCGUAGAACCUUACCUGGGUUUGACAUGGAUCGGGAGUGCUCAGAGAUGGGUGUGCCUCUUUUGGGGUCGGUUCACAGGUGGUGCAUGGCUGUCGUCAGCUCGUGUCGUGAGAUGUUGGGUUAAGUCCCGCAACGAGCGCAACCCUUGUUCACUGUUGCCAGCACGUUAUGGUGGGGACUCAGUGGAGACCGCCGGGGUCAACUCGGAGGAAGGUGGGGAUGACGUCAAGUCAUCAUGCCCCUUAUGUCCAGGGCUUCACGCAUGCUACAAUGGCUGGUACAGAGAGUGGCGAGCCUGCGAGGGUGAGCGAAUCUCGGAAAGCCGGUCUCAGUUCGGAUUGGGGUCUGCAACUCGACCUCAUGAAGUCGGAGUCGCUAGUAAUCGCAGAUCAGCAACGCUGCGGUGAAUACGUUCCCGGGGCU